AUUGGCAAAUAGUACGGAGAGCAGCUGUCCAGAUGGCCUGAAAGCCUUUUACUGUUUCACACAAAGUAAUAUCGGCUGGAUGACACUUAAUAGAUACCAGUUUGCAUGAUAAAGGUAUGCCACCAACCACCGUAUUUUCUCAGUUUGAUACACGUGCCAACUGUCUAUAUCACUGUUGCUGGAAGCGAGGCAGUAUUCGCUUAAGAUAUUGACAUGUUUUGACCAAAUGACCGUGGCUCAACAGGAAAUACAUGGAACUGCUCAACAGGAAAUACAGAGGAUGUCUGGAUGCCCAGGGAAGAACAGUACUGAAGUGAUUUCGAUAUUGACAUACUUUGACCGAAAUGAUCGCAGUACAAUGGAUGGCAUCCGGAAUGUUUAGCAAGCGCAUAUUGGAACUCGGAGCCUUUAAAAUGAAAUAUUGCAUGAAGAUCCAACAGAUGCAGUGUGUAGAAUUAUAAAUAUUAGACCAAACCCAAAAUGCAUAUUU
Molecule: long non-coding RNA, 490 nt
Organism: Argiope bruennichi
Lineage: Eukaryota; Metazoa; Arthropoda; Arachnida; Araneae; Araneidae
Exons: 4
Source: RefSeq, a predicted model, not a curated record